ACUGAGCCCGCCCAGUCCCGGGCCUGGUGAACGGAGCGCACAUGCCCUCAACCAGCCGCUCGGUCCGCGGCGCACGUGUGUAGCCGGAGAAGGGUCGGCCAGCGGUUUAGGCGCUUGCUCGCCACCAGCCAGCCGGCCAUCGGGGUGGGGCUGGCCGCGCGCUGGUUCCUUUUUCUUCCGCCGUCCUUCUGGCUGCUUCACGGGAAAAGGGUCCGCGUUGUCUCCCGCAGAGAUGAAAACUGAAGCUAUGAAAUGGUGGCUUGUUCAAUGCCCCACAAUGGAUGAAUGGCAGACAAGAUUCUUAAAGCUGAGCUUCCCAAACCCAUGUCCAGUCCACAAGGCUACAGCAGCAGAAAGAAGUGGCUGAAGUUGCAACCUAUUGCAUUAGUCACUGAAAGAAGAUAAGCGUGGCAAGCCAUUCUUCUCAUGGUCAUGAACAAUGUUCUCUGGGAUUUCCUCUAUGGAAGAAAAAGCUCCUGAGGAAAUAAAUUAGGACAUGUUUUUACAAAGGAACCAUUCAAAUUGUCUCAUUCUCUCUUCUGUACUGGUGGCUGUCACCAAAUUGCUAGUAUCUGCUGACAUAAGCAUGAGCAAGUUACUUCUUUAAAAAACUGAAAGAAAAGCUGAAGGUUCUUGGAAAAUCUCCCCCAACAACUCAAGUUCUACACAAAGCUACUUAAGAGUUCAUAUGUUGUGUUUUCUCUGGCACUUUCCAACACUGGCCAGGACUAUAGGCAGCUGUACCAAAUUCUGUACUUGAAGGAUGUUCUCCACACCAAAUUGUCCCUGAGACCAGUUGCAUAAAUAGUUGAAGCCUGAAGUACAAUGUAGUAGAAAAUACUGUUCUGCUGAAUUUGAACAGAAGGCACUGAUGACUGGCCCAGCAUUGUUAUUUAGCCAAGGCCAGUCUAGAGAUUUCAUACAAUUCACAUAGUCAGGUAUUGAAAUUUCUUAUAUUCUUCUGCAUCAAAACUGAUUCUAAAACCUGAAUAUAAAUGUUUCAGGAAUGUUGUACUAUAUGAGAUCCUAGUACAUAGCCACCCAGCAACCCACAGCACUAAGAAAUACUUCCCCUCAAUGCAAAGCAUUGAAAUAAAAUAUAUUCAUACUGCCUUGGUCUAAUUUAAUACAUGCAAUACUGAAUCUUCUUUCAUUGCUUUCAGUUUCUCCUAUAUCAAUUUCCAGGUUGCAAUUAAAAGACAUUUAAUUUUA
Varanus komodoensis (Komodo dragon) is the source of this 1212-nucleotide long non-coding RNA. RefSeq lists it as uncharacterized. Lineage: Eukaryota; Metazoa; Chordata; Lepidosauria; Squamata; Varanidae. The transcript is spliced from 3 exons. The record is from RefSeq and is a predicted model, not a curated record.